Arthromyces matolae is the source of this 81-nucleotide non-coding RNA. The record is from the annotation of a GenBank genome assembly. Lineage: Eukaryota; Fungi; Basidiomycota; Agaricomycetes; Agaricales; Lyophyllaceae.
GCCAAUGUGGCUCAAUGGUAGAGCAUCGCUUUCCUAUUCUUAGAAAGGCGGAGGUUGUGGGUUCGAGCCCCAUCAUUGGUU